CCCUCCUCUCCUCCCUCCUUCUCAUCACUCCCGACAGAGCAGCGGACAGUCGCCCACAAUAAGCGGCUCUGUAGCAGCCUCCGGCUUAUCUCAUCUCCGCGGAUCGCCCCCGGUGGCGACCCGCACCGACUCUUCCCUGGAUCAUCCUCAAUCACAGAAACACAAGGGACAGAGAGGAAGGGAGAUGCUGCCGUGUUUCCACUUUCUUUGCCUUCCAAGGGUCUCUCCCACAUCUCCUCCCCGGAUCUUUUUUUGUGCUCGUCGGGCUGCGGCUGCGUAAAGCUCCACAGCAGCAGCCGCAGCAGCAGCAGAUGUGUUGAGCGACCCAGCUAAUAGCAGUAUCUUCCCAUAGAGGCCACGGCUUGAUGCUGAAAUCCCUACAUUCAUGAGAAGGCAACAGGAAGCCGAUUACUGAGGGAUUAAACGCAUGUACACGUAUGCACAUGCACACACAGAGGAUACAACAGUUCCAGGAUUUGACUGCCAUCCAUCUGUGGAUCUCGCUCUGAAUGAACUUGUCUGACUGACUGAGAUGCUCUCUGGUAUCAUGGAAGAAGAGGAGGAGCCCACAGAGUCUCAUUGAAUUCAAAACACAUGACCCCAACCUCCCUCCUCAUGCCUCACCAUCAAAGGCUUUGACUGCUCGAUGAGAAAUUACACACGUGUAAUAAACAGCAGAGCGUGCAGAAAGAGAGAGGAAGGCAGAGCCUACAAUCCGCCUGCUGCUGUCCCAUGAUGCAUCAACACUUGUAAGAGCAGAAUCAGCCACACAGAGGGCUGUUUCUAUGGAUACCCCUGCCCUGGGUUGUAUUAAUAAGGCUCAGUGAUAUUCUGACUAUCUGCGUAUGAAGAAUACACAGAGAGAGAUUAGAAGUACAUCUUUGCAACAGAAUACAACUUCAAAAAAAACAAAAAAUUGUGCAGGAAAGAAAGACAUCACCAUCAAGUGUCAAGAGGAAGAUGUUGAAGGAAAAAAUGUCCUAUUAUUAACCAUGAACUGUAGAUGAUUUUCCAUCACAUGUUUAAACAUGUGGCUGCAAGAUCACUGACUAAACCAAACGUUAGAUUUCUUUCCACUUGGUUUCAUAUAUUUUGAUCCUUUUUGAUAUUCAGUCC
Molecule: long non-coding RNA, 1116 nt
Organism: Amphiprion ocellaris (clown anemonefish)
Lineage: Eukaryota; Metazoa; Chordata; Actinopteri; Pomacentridae
Source: Ensembl